RNAcentral lists this unclassified non-coding RNA (230 nucleotides) under fungal sp. RNAcentral describes it as "partial internal transcribed spacer region". The stretch from base 1 to 47 matches the Rfam family "Eukaryotic small subunit ribosomal RNA", at positions 1785 to 1831 of the family's 1831-position model. The record is from RNAcentral. Lineage: Eukaryota; Fungi.
CAAGUCGUAACAAGGUAUCCGUAGGUGAACCUGCGGAUGGAUCAUUACCAAAGAUCCCAUCCACGUACUGUGAACUGUUUUGACUAACGGUCAGUGGGAGCUGUAGUGUGCGCCUCGGCACACGCUACUGUAACCGCUGCCCGUAUCAACAAACGUAUAUUCCAACAACUGACGUCUCUUUAGUAAAUCAUAACUAAAGACAACUUUUAGCAACGGAUCUCUAGGCUCUU